CUGUGUUCACUAGAACAGCAACAAGCAGAGGACAGCAUCUUACAUCCUUCCCCACAAAAGGGUGUUAAAAGCAGCAGAUCCAGCUGGCAACAGGCAUGAAGAUGGCUGGCCUGGGCUGGAUGGCUGUGGUGCUGGCCUUCUUCCUGUCUCCUCCAAACAGUUUGGCUGCUGUGGACCAGACGUGGCUCACCAGUAUUGUAGAAGGCAUCAAAAAUGAGUAUGCACUUGGUGACGCCUUCAGUCUGGCUGUGAACAUCCCACAGAAUCAAGACCCAAACACUCUCAAGCAAGUCCUUCAAGCCGACCCAGCGGACAAAGUGAAAGAAACUGUUGCAAACAGUCAAGUGUACCAAGGCACCAGGGUGGUUGCAGCCACGCAGGCAGAUGCAGUGUCACGUGUUCUUGAGAACCUACAGCCGCUUAUACAAAGCAGUCAGGAUAAUGUCCUCAUAAUCUACUCUGAAGGAUCCCCAGAUGCAAAUGGUAUUGCUACCAAGAUUAAUGAUGUCACUCAGAAAUGGAGCAGUUAUGUCUUUGCCUUUUCUAAAGUAGUUGAUGUUCCUGAUGCUGACACAUCUCAGCUGGCUCAAUCCUUUAAACAACUUGACAUUUCCAAACUCGGGCUUGACAACAUAUUCCGUUGUUAUAAACCUGGAGAUGAUGCUUUUCAGUGCACCAGCUGCUCCUCAGGUGGAGAUGUUACACCCUCAUGUGUGACAAAUACAUCUCCAUCAACUCAAGAGCAAGAUGCAGGUGCAGAAACAAGUACAUCUGCACCAGGCACUGGAGUAGACACCGCAGUAGCCACUGGUGAAGGCAAUGCUGAAGGCACUGGUACAGGUGUUGGCGUAGGCACUGGUGAAGGCACUGGUCCAGUCGCUGGUGUAGGCACUGGUGAAGGCACUGGUACAGGUGCUGGUGUAGGCACUGGUGAAGGCACUGGUACAGGUGCUGGUGUAGGCACUGGUGAAGGCACUGGUACAGGUGCUGGUGUAGGCACUGGUGAAGGCACUGGUACAGGUGCUGGUGUAGGCACUGGUGAAGGCACUGGUGUAGGUGCUGGUGCUGGCAUAGGCACUGCUAUAAGCGCUGGCAGACAAAGACGAAAGGGGAAAGCUGGCCGACUUAGGAAGUGCAGAGGCCGUCGUAGACGAGGAUGCAAGCGUAGACGAGGUAGUAGAUGGAGAAAAGGUGGUAAGGUUAGAAAAUGGCCCAAGCGAAAGAGAGGGCGCAAGGGAAGAAAACGCGGUAAGCUUCGUAGAGGUCGUAAAGGUAGAAAAAGGGGCAAACGUAGAAGAGGUGGCAAACGUAAAAGAGGAGGCAAACGUAGAAGAGGUGGCAGGCGUAGAAAAGGAGGCAAACGUAGAAGAGGUGGGAAGCGUAGAAGAGGUGGCUGGCGUAGAGGCAGACGUAGGCAGUAGAAAACAGCAACAACUGUAAGUACCUCUAAGUCGGAGUAACAGCCCAAAUAAAUCUCUGCUUCAUAAAAGUGCAUUUAUUUCUUUUUUCUCUUCUCUGUUUCUCCGUCUUUUUAAUGAUAGUUGUCCAUUUUACUUUUUAACCAAUCAAAACCAUCCAUCCAUCAGACAGACAACCAAGCACAUUCACAUUCACACCUACGACCAAUUUAGAAUCACUAAUUAGCCUGGGCAUGUCUUUGGACUGUGGGAAGAAGCUGGAGAAGCCGGUGAGACCCCAUGCUGCACAAGGAGAACGUGCAAACUCCACCAAAAAGAUUUUAGGGAUUGUCUAGCUGUGAGGUGACAGUGCUAUCCACUGCAGCACCGUGCCGCCCACCACCAGCGAUAUUUUUCUGACUGUCAACAAAUCCCAUGAAAAUAUCAGUACCAACAAUGACUGAAGCCAGCAAGUUGGUGCUGUGUGUGAAUCGAAAGCCUGAUAUAUUUCGUUCCUCUCAGCCAUAGAGUUCCGUUGUGGUUGAAAAGCUAUUAGCAGACAGUGCGCUACAGUAUGUUUCUCAUGAGCACACACUGCAGUUUAUUUUAAAUUAGUCUUACUAACUAAAACACCAAAUGAAAACUAGCACACCAGAGCAAAACCACAAUGCUCACUACUUUUUUUUUAAUGAAACAAUAUAUGUUUGUAAAGGUUUUUGUUAUAUUUACAGUAAUUUUCUUGAUUUAGAAUCUACAUGGCAUACUUAAAGCAAAGGAAAAAUGGUUCAAUGUAAAUCCACAUCAAUAUUUACAGUACUUCUGUCAUAUUAUUCUGUAUGCAACAUGUUAUGCAACAUAUUAUGAAAUCAUCUGAUGUUCUAUUCUUUCUUAUUAAAGCUUGGCUCAGCAUCCA
Amphiprion ocellaris (clown anemonefish) is the source of this 2310-nucleotide long non-coding RNA. NCBI's taxonomy places the organism in Eukaryota, Metazoa, Chordata, Actinopteri, Pomacentridae. The record is from Ensembl.